RNAcentral lists this non-coding RNA (116 nucleotides) under Nomascus leucogenys (northern white-cheeked gibbon). Lineage: Eukaryota; Metazoa; Chordata; Mammalia; Primates; Hylobatidae. The record is from Rfam by way of RNAcentral.
GCCGGGCAUGGUGGCUCAUGCCUGUAAUCCCAGCACUUGGGAGGCUGAGGCGGGAGGAUCACCUGAGGUCAGGAGUUUGAGACCAGCCUGGCUAACAUGGUGAAACCUUGUCUCUA